This 240-nucleotide unclassified non-coding RNA is filed under the name soil metagenome. RNAcentral describes it as "partial contains 5.8S ribosomal RNA, internal transcribed spacer 2, and large subunit ribosomal RNA". The record is from RNAcentral.
AAGACUAUAGACCUGCGGAGUACCUGCGGAAGGAUCAUUAACGUAUCUAUGAUGGGGUGCGGAGCGCCCUGUUCCGGUCGAACGGCCGUGCAGCGGGUGCGCCGCCCCCGUCCCACCUCACAAACCCACUGUGAACAUUCACCGGUGGAGGGGGCUCGGUCUGCGCCGUGUCCCCGAUGCCGAAUACCCAAACUCCAGUUGCAAAGAACGUCGUGCGGACUCGGUGCCGCCUAAAACAUG